This is a long non-coding RNA of Gavialis gangeticus (Gharial), 388 nucleotides long. RefSeq lists it as uncharacterized. NCBI's taxonomy places the organism in Eukaryota, Metazoa, Chordata, Crocodylia, Gavialidae. The transcript has 4 exons. The record is from RefSeq and is a predicted model, not a curated record.
GUCCAGUGGGCAGGGAUUGGACCGUCACUGGAAAGUGCAAAUGUCCCGCCUUCCCUCCCCCCACCUAUUUUUUUUCAAGAGAACUGAAGUAUUUUUGACCUUGACUUCAAUAAUACUUCAUGUUUUAGUACUUUAGUCAGCAGUUUAUCGGCUAAUUGCUAUACACUACCGCAUGUGGCUUGAAUCUGCAAUUGCAGCUCUCUUUUAAUGGUAUCUGCUGUCUAUCCCAGUCCUCUAAAGUAUUCCCUCCGUCCAGCUCACCAGAUCUACUCCAGAAGUAAUCUCACUGAAGUCAAUGGUAUUCUUUGCUGGCUCUACUGAAGUCAAUGGCUGUGCAACAUGAAGAAGAGAGUCAGAAUCUGGCCACAAAUCGCAGGAUACUCCCUAA